RNAcentral lists this ribosomal RNA (458 nucleotides) under Komagataeibacter europaeus. RNAcentral's name for it is "bacterial SSU rRNA". It matches the Rfam family "Bacterial small subunit ribosomal RNA", at positions 382 to 858 of the family's 1533-position model. The record is from RNAcentral. Lineage: Bacteria; Pseudomonadati; Pseudomonadota; Alphaproteobacteria; Acetobacterales; Acetobacteraceae.
CUGAAUCCAGCAAUGCCGCGUGUGUGAAGAAGGUUUUCGGAUUGUAAAGCACUUUCAGCGGGGACGAUGAUGACGGUACCCGCAGAAGAAGCCCCGGCUAACUUCGUGCCAGCAGCCGCGGUAAUACGAAGGGGGCAAGCGUUGCUCGGAAUGACUGGGCGUAAAGGGCGCGUAGGCGGUUGACACAGUCAGAUGUGAAAUUCCUGGGCUUAACCUGGGGGCUGCAUUUGAUACGUGGCGACUAGAGUGUGAGAGAGGGUUGUGGAAUUCCCAGUGUAGAGGUGAAAUUCGUAGAUAUUGGGGAAGAACACCGGUGGCGAAGGCGGCAACCUGGCUCAUGACUGACGCUGAGGCGCGAAAGUGGGGGAGCAAACAGGUUAGAUACCCUGGUAGUCCACGCUGUAAACGAUGUGUGCUGGAUGUUGGGUGACUUUGUCAAUCAGUGUCGUAGUUAACGC